Athene cunicularia (burrowing owl) is the source of this 479-nucleotide long non-coding RNA. RefSeq lists it as uncharacterized. Lineage: Eukaryota; Metazoa; Chordata; Aves; Strigiformes; Strigidae. The transcript is spliced from 2 exons. The record is from RefSeq and is a predicted model, not a curated record.
AAAACAAUGGUGUUAGGUUUUAGAAUUAAAGCCGCACCUUAUGUUUUCUGACAUGCUUUCUGCAACCAUAAGCCUGACAGUACUUUGGGUUUUCACAGUAUCAAUCAUACCAAAGUUUUCUACAGCACUGUAUCGAGAGAUAUUUUACUUUAGAGGCAUGGAAGUAAAACAUCCAAAGUCUGUGAUAGUUGGAAGACAAAACUAAGUCUAGAACUAAACAGUACUCUGUGCAGCAUGGCCUUGGACAAGGGCUACACACAGUAAGUUGUUACUGUAACUAACAUGACUGCAGUAACUACACUAGCAGUAUUUUCACUUUCCAAUUAACUAAAAUGUCAUGGAACAUAUGGAGUAAUGCUAGGUUUGGGCAUCUCAGUUUAGGAGACAGAACUUAUUCAGCACUUGCUUAUCUCCAGUGUGAAAGUGUCACUAGCAAAAAAAAAUUAUGGAAAAAGAAAGAAGCAUGGAAAAAACAUGAC